RNAcentral lists this RNase P RNA (398 nucleotides) under Ignavibacteriaceae bacterium. RNAcentral's name for it is "RNase P RNA component class A". It matches the Rfam family "Bacterial RNase P class A". From Rfam's summary of the family: Ribonuclease P (RNase P) is a ubiquitous endoribonuclease, found in archaea, bacteria and eukarya as well as chloroplasts and mitochondria. The record is from RNAcentral. Lineage: Bacteria; Pseudomonadati; Ignavibacteriota; Ignavibacteria; Ignavibacteriales; Ignavibacteriaceae.
AGUUCAGUCCGGGCAAUCGCUCACUAUUAAUAAUUACGGUGGGAGGAAAGUCCGAGCUUCAUAGAACAGGGUGCCGGGUAACACCCGGGGGUCGUAAGAGAAAUUUUAUGACCACUGAAAGUGCCACAGAAAAGAAACCGCCCCGAUUUAUCGGGGUAAGGGUGAAAAGGCGGGGUAAAAGCCCACCGCUCCAUUGGUAACAAUGGAGGCACGGCAAACCACACCCGAAGCAAGGUCAAAUAGGGAAACCGUUCCUUAUUCAUUUAAGGAUCAGAGUUGUUCGCUCUGGAGGUUUCCGGGUAGAUCGCUAGAUUCUAUCAGUAAUGGUAGAGCCAGAUAAAUGAUUGCCAUCCGGCAACCGCCGGAUACAGAACUCGGCUUACAGGUCUGAACUUUUU